RNAcentral lists this ribosomal RNA (278 nucleotides) under uncultured prokaryote. RNAcentral describes it as "partial 16S ribosomal RNA". It matches the Rfam family "Bacterial small subunit ribosomal RNA", at positions 524 to 801 of the family's 1533-position model. The record is from RNAcentral.
UACGUAGGGGGCGAGCGUUGUCCGGAAUUACUGGGCGUAAAGGGCACGCAGGCGGUCCAACAGGUCAGAUGUGAAAGCCCGGGGCUCAACCCUGGAAGUGCAUUUGAAACCGUUGGACUUGAGUACGGUAGAGGAGAGGGGAAUUCCUGGUGUAGAGGUGAAAUUCGUAGAUAUCAGGAGGAACACCGGUGGCGAAGGCGCCUCUCUGGACCGAUACUGACGCUGAGGUGCGAAGGCGUGGGUAGCGAACAGGAUUAGAUACCCGUGUAGUCCCUGAG